GGGGUUGUGGCUCAGUGGUAGAGAGCUUGCCUAGCACGUAUGGGGUCCUGGGUUCCAUCCUCAGCAACACAU
This 72-nucleotide transfer RNA is filed under the name Marmota monax (woodchuck). It matches the Rfam family "tRNA". Rfam says of the family: Transfer RNA (tRNA) molecules are approximately 80 nucleotides in length. Lineage: Eukaryota; Metazoa; Chordata; Mammalia; Rodentia; Sciuridae. The record is from Rfam by way of RNAcentral.